This 802-nucleotide ribosomal RNA is filed under the name uncultured bacterium. Its description in RNAcentral is "bacterial SSU rRNA". It matches the Rfam family "Bacterial small subunit ribosomal RNA", at positions 54 to 832 of the family's 1533-position model. The record is from RNAcentral.
AAUGCAAGUCGAACGCGAAAGGUUCCCUUCGGGGGGCGAGUAGAGUGGCGCACGGNCUGAGUAACACGNUAGGUAAUCUACCUUCGGAUGGGGAAUAACAAUCGGAAACGGUUGCUAAUACCGCAUAAUGCAGCGGCACCUAAUGGUGACAGUUGUUAAAGCGGGGGAUCGAAAGACCUCGCGUCUGAAGAGGAGCCUGCGGCGGAUUAGCUAGUUGGUAAGGUAACGGCUUACCAAGGCGACGAUCCGUAGCCGGCCUGAGAGGGCGGUCGGCCACACUGACACUGACAUACGGGUCAGACUCCUACGGGAGGCAGCAGUCGGGAAUUUUGGGCAAUGGGCGAAAGCCUGACCCAGCAACGCCGCGUGAAGGAUGAAAUCCCUCGGGAUGUAAACUUCGCAAGAACGGGAAGAAUAAGUCUGUGUAAAUACCAUAGAUGAUGACGGUACCGUUUGUAAGCUCCGGCUAACUCCGUGCCAGCAGCCGCGGUAAUACGGGGGGAGCAAGCGUUGUUCGGAUUUACUGGGCGUAAAGGGCGCGUAGGCGGCCAGCGCAAGUCAGUUGUGAAAUCUCCGAACUUAACUCGGAAAGGUCAACUGAUACUGCGCGGCUAGAGUGCGGAAGGGGCAACUGGAAUUCUUGGUGUAGCGGUGAAAUGCGUANAUAUCAAGAGGAACACCUGCGGCGAAGGCGGGUUGCUGGGCCNACACUGACGCUGAGGCGCGAAAGCUAGGGAGCGAACGGGANUANAUACCCCGGUAGUCCUANCCUUAAACGAUGAAUGCUUGGUGUCUGGGGUAU